RNAcentral lists this transfer RNA (87 nucleotides) under Lobosphaera incisa. RNAcentral's name for it is "tRNA-Ser". It matches the Rfam family "tRNA". From Rfam's summary of the family: Transfer RNA (tRNA) molecules are approximately 80 nucleotides in length. Their secondary structure includes four short double-helical elements and three loops (D, anti-codon, and T loops). Further hydrogen bonds mediate the characteristic L-shaped molecular structure. tRNAs have two regions of fundamental functional importance: the anti-codon, which is responsible for specific mRNA codon recognition, and the 3' end, to which the tRNAs corresponding amino acid is attached (by aminoacyl-tRNA synthetases). tRNAs cope with the degeneracy of the genetic code in two manners: having more than one tRNA (with a specific anti-codon) for a particular amino acid; and 'wobble' base-pairing, i.e. permitting non-standard base-pairing at the 3rd anti-codon position. Lineage: Eukaryota; Viridiplantae; Chlorophyta; Trebouxiophyceae; Trebouxiales; Trebouxiaceae. The record is from RNAcentral.
GGACGGAUGUCUGAGUGGUUUAAGGUUCCGGUCUUGAAAACCGGCAUACUCCUAUGAGUAUCGGGGGUUCGAAUCCUCCUUCGUCCG